CUGAUGCAGCGACGCCGCGUGAGGGAUGGAGGCCUUCGGGUUGUAAACCUCUUUCGCCAGUGAAGCAGGCCUGUCCCUUUUGUGGGUGGGUUGACGGUAGCUGGAUAAGAAGCGCCGGCUAACUACGUGCCAGCAGCCGCGGUAAUACGUAGGGCGCGAGCGUUGUCCGGAAUUAUUGGGCGUAAAGAGCUCGUAGGCGGCUGGUCGCGUCUGUCGUGAAAUCCUCUGGCUUAACUGGGGGCUUGCGGUGGGUACGGGCCGGCUUGAGUGCGGUAGGGGAGACUGGAACUCCUGGUGUAGCGGUGGAAUGCGCAGAUAUCAGGAAGAACACCGGUGGCGAAGGCGGGUCUCUGGGCCGUUACUGACGCUGAGGAGCGAAAGCGUGGGGAGCGAACAGGAUUAGAUACCCUGGUAGUCCACGCCGUAAACGUUGGGCACUAGGUGUGGGGGGCCUUUUCCGGGUCUUCCGCGCCGUAGCUAACGCAUUAAGUGCCCCGCCUGGGGAGCACGGCCGCAAGGCUAAAACUCAAAGGAAUUGACGGGGGCCCGCACAAGCGGCGGAGCAUGCGGAUUAAUUCGAUGCAACGCGAAGAACCUUACC
This 601-nucleotide ribosomal RNA is filed under the name Actinomyces sp. oral taxon 175. RNAcentral describes it as "bacterial SSU rRNA". It matches the Rfam family "Bacterial small subunit ribosomal RNA", at positions 383 to 975 of the family's 1533-position model. Lineage: Bacteria; Bacillati; Actinomycetota; Actinomycetes; Actinomycetales; Actinomycetaceae. The record is from RNAcentral.